Molecule: ribosomal RNA, 688 nt
Filed under: uncultured bacterium
Lineage: Bacteria
Description: bacterial SSU rRNA
Rfam family: Bacterial small subunit ribosomal RNA
Source: RNAcentral
CCUGCCCAGAAGCGGGGGAUAACACCUGGAAACAGAUGCUAAUACCGCAUAACAACUUGGACCGCAUGGUCCGAGUUUGAAAGAUGGCUUCGGCUAUCACUUUUGGAUGGUCCCGCGGCGUAUUAGCUAGAUGGUGAGGUAACGGCUCACCAUGGCAAUGAUACGUAGCCGACCUGAGAGGGUAAUCGGCCACAUUGGGACUGAGACACGGCCCAAACUCCUACGGGAGGCAGCAGUAGGGAAUCUUCCACAAUGGACGAAAGUCUGAUGGAGCAACGCCGCGUGAGUGAAGAAGGGUUUCGGCUCGUAAAACUCUGUUGUUAAAGAAGAACAUAUCUGAGAGUAACUGUUCAGGUAUUGACGGUAUUUAACCAGAAAGCCACGGCUAACUACGUGCCAGCAGCCGCGGUAAUACGUAGGUGGCAAGCGUUGUCCGGAUUUAUUGGGCGUAAAGCGAGCGCAGGCGGUUUUUUAAGUCUGAUGUGAAAGCCUUCGGCUCAACCGAAGAAGUGCAUCGGAAACUGGGGAACUUGAGUGCAGAAGAAGGACAGUGGAACUCCAUGUGUAGCGGUGAAAAUGCGUAGAUAUAUGGAAGAACACCAGUGGCGAAGGCGGCUGUCUGGUCUGUAACUGACGCUGAGGCUCGAAAGUAUGGGGUAGCAAAACAAGGAUUAGAUACCCUGGUAGU